AAAUCAAGAAGUACAUCGAUUGUUGCAUACCUUGCAUAUUAGUAAAUCGCAAGCGUGGUAAACAAGAAGGUCUUUUGAACCCCCUGCAAAAAUAUGACGAGCCGCUGCCGACCUAUCACAUCGAUUUUUGGGUCCACUGGAGUCAACCAGCAAGAGCUACAAACACAUACUUGUUGUUAUCGACGCUUUCACGAAGUUUUGCUGGUUAUACCCUACAAAGUCUACUACAUCUAACGAGGUCAUAUUAAAGUUACGCAGCCAAAGCGUGACGUUUGGCAACCCUGUUUGUAUCAUUUCAGAUAGAGGCUCGGCGUUUACCGCACAAGCUUUCCUACAGUACUGCGAAGACGAAAAAAUUAAACUGGUGAAGACGACUACCGGACUGCCACGGGUAAACGGGCAGGUGGAAAGGCUCAACUCAGUGAUCAUCUCCGUGCUAGCCAAGCUCAGUGUAGACGAUCCAUCCAAAUGGUUUAAGCACGUAGAUCGAGUACAGCGAGCAAUAAACUCGACGUACACCAGAAGCAUCGAUACAACUCCUUUCGAGCUUAUGAUGGGUAUCAAGAUGCGCACCAAAGAUGACC
Molecule: long non-coding RNA, 584 nt
Filed under: Drosophila guanche
Lineage: Eukaryota; Metazoa; Arthropoda; Insecta; Diptera; Drosophilidae
Source: RNAcentral